This 454-nucleotide ribosomal RNA is filed under the name uncultured bacterium. RNAcentral describes it as "bacterial SSU rRNA". It matches the Rfam family "Bacterial small subunit ribosomal RNA", at positions 30 to 504 of the family's 1533-position model. The record is from RNAcentral.
UGAACGCUGGCGGCGUGCUUAACACAUGCAAGUCGAACGAUGAAGCCUAGCUUGCUAGGUGGAUUAGUGGCGCACGGGUGAGUAAUAUAUAGAUAACGUGCCUCUUAGUCUGGGAUAGCCAUUGGAAACGAUGAUUAAUACUAGAUACUCCUUCUGAUUCUAAUUUCAGUCGGGAAAGUUUUUCGCUAAGAGAUCGGUCUAUAUCCCAUCAGUUAGUUGGUAAGGUAACGGCUUACCAAGGCAAUGACGGGUAGCGGGUUUGAGAGGAUGAUCCGCCACACUGGUACUGAGACACGGACCAGACUCCUACGGGAGGCAGCAGUGAGGAAUAUUGCACAAUGGGGGAAACCCUGAUGCAGCAACGCCGCGUGGAGGAUGACGCAUUUCGGUGUGUAAACUCCUUUUAUGAGUCAAGAAAAUGACGGUAGCUCAUGAAUAAGCACCGGCUAACUCC